Molecule: ribosomal RNA, 663 nt
Filed under: uncultured bacterium
Lineage: Bacteria
Description: bacterial SSU rRNA
Rfam family: Bacterial small subunit ribosomal RNA
Source: RNAcentral
AGUGGCGGACGGGUGAGUAACGCGUGAGAAUCUACCUUCAGGACGGGGACAACAGCUGGAAACGGCUGCUAAUACCCGAUAUGCCGAAAGGUGAAAAGUUUUUUCGCCUGGAGAGGAGCUCGCGUCCGAUUAGCUAGUUGGUGAGGUAAAAGCUUACCAAGGCGACGAUCGGUAGCUGGUCUGAGAGGAUGAGCAGCCACACUGGAACUGAGACACGGUCCAGACUCCUACGGGAGGCAGCAGUGGGGAAUUUUCCGCAAUGGGCGAAAGCCUGACGGAGCAACGCCGCGUGGGGGAAGAAGGUUUUUGGAUUGUAAACCCCUUUUUCUCAAGGAAGAACAAAAUGACGGUACUUGAGGAAUCAGCCUCGGCUAACUCCGUGCCAGCAGCCGCGGUAAUACGGAGGAGGCAAGCGUUAUCCGGAAUUAUUGGGCGUAAAGCGUUCGUAGGCGGCUGUUCAAGUCUGCUGUCAAAGACCGAGGCUCAACCUCGGGUCGGCAGUGGAAACUGGAUAGCUAGAGGUCGGUAGGGGCAGAGGGAAUUCCCAGUGUAGCGGUGAAAUGCGUAGAUAUUGGGAAGAACACCGGUGGCGAAAGCGCUCUGCUGGGCCGAACCUGACGCUGAGGGACGAAAGCUAGGGGAGCGAAUGGGAUUAGAUACCCC